CCUGGCGGCCGUAGCGCGGUGGUCCCACCUGACCCCAUGCCGAACUCAGAAGUGAAACGCCGUAGCGCCGAUGGUAGUGUGGGGUCUCCCCAUGCGAGCGUAGGGAACUGCCAGGC
RNAcentral lists this ribosomal RNA (116 nucleotides) under Shigella dysenteriae. RNAcentral also lists the same sequence under 1 other name. Lineage: Bacteria; Pseudomonadati; Pseudomonadota; Gammaproteobacteria; Enterobacterales; Enterobacteriaceae. The record is from RNAcentral.